AGUCGAACGAUGAAACUUAAAAGAUUUCUUCGGAAUGAACUUAAGUGAAUUAGUGGCGAACGGGUGAGUAACGCGUGAGUAACCUGCCUUACACAAGGGGAUAGCCUCUGGAAACGGAGGAUAAUACCCUAUGAAACUAUCUCAUCGCAUGAAAAGAUAGUCAAAGUGUUUUAGCGGUGUAAGAUGGACUUGCGUCUGAUUAGCUAGUUGGUGAGAUAACAGCCCACCAAGGCAACGAUCAGUAGCCGGCUUGAGAGAGUGUACGGCCACAUUGGGACUGAGACACGGCCCAGACUCCUACGGGAGGCAGCAGUGGGGAAUUUUGCACAAUGGGGGCAACCCUGAUGCAGCGACGCCGCGUGAUUUAGAAGGCCUCCGGGUUGUAAAAAUCUUUUGUAUAGGAAGAAAAUGACAGUACUAUACGAAUAAGGUCCGGCUAAUUACGUGCCAGCAGCCGCGGUAAUACGUAAGGACCGAGCGUUGUCCGGAAUCAUUGGGCGUAAAGGGUACGUAGGCGGUUAGAAAAGUUAGAAGUGAAAGGCUAUAGCUCAACUAUAGUAAGCUUUUAAAACUGUUUAACUUGAGAGAUGGAAGGGAAAGUGGAAUUCCUAGUGUAGCGGUGAAAUGCGCAGAUAUUAGGAGGAAUACCGGUGGCGAAGGCGACUUUCUGGCCAUUAUCUGACGCUGAGGUACGAAAGCGUGGGUAGCAAACAGGAUUAG
RNAcentral lists this ribosomal RNA (720 nucleotides) under uncultured Eubacteriales bacterium. RNAcentral describes it as "bacterial SSU rRNA". It matches the Rfam family "Bacterial small subunit ribosomal RNA", at positions 60 to 781 of the family's 1533-position model. Lineage: Bacteria; Bacillati; Bacillota; Clostridia; Eubacteriales. The record is from RNAcentral.